This 492-nucleotide ribosomal RNA is filed under the name uncultured bacterium. RNAcentral describes it as "partial 16S ribosomal RNA". It matches the Rfam family "Bacterial small subunit ribosomal RNA", at positions 29 to 507 of the family's 1533-position model. The record is from RNAcentral.
AGUGAACGCUGGCGGUAUGCCUAACACAUGCAAGUCGAACGGCAGCACAGUUAGAGCUUGCUCUUACGGGUGGCGAGUGGCGGACGGGUGAGGAAUACAUCGGAAUCUACUUUUUCGUGGGGGAUAACGUAGGGAAACUUACGCUAAUACCGCAUACGACCUACGGGUGAAAGCAGGAGAUCUUCGGACCUUGCGUGAUUGAAUGAGCCGAUGUCGGAUUAGCUAGUUGGCGGGGUAAAGGCCCACCAAGGCGACGAUCCGUAGCUGGUCUGAGAGGAUGAUCAGCCACACUGGAACUGAGACACGGUCCAGACUCCUACGGGAGGCAGCAGUGGGGAAUAUUGGACAAUGGGCGCAAGCCUGAUCCAGCCAUACCGCGUGGGUGAAGAAGGCCUUCGGGUUGUAAAGCCGUUUUGUUGGGAAAGAAAAGCAGCAGGUUAAUACCACGCUGUUCUGACGGUACCCGAAGAAUAAGCACCGGCUAACUUCGUG